ACGCUGGCGGCACGCCUAACACAUGCAAGUCGAACGAAGUAGCAAUACUUAGUGGCAGACGGGUGAGUAACAUGUAGGUAUCUGCCCUUUGGCCUGGAAUAACACGAGGAAACUUGUGCUAAUACCGGAUAAGUCUUUACGGAGAAAGCUUUAUGCACCAUUGGAUGAGCCUGCACUUGAUUAGUUUGUUGGUGGGGUAAUGGCCUACCAAGACUGUGAUCAAUAGCUGAUUUGAGAGGAUGAUCAGCCACAUUGGGACUGAGACACGGCCCAAACUCCUACGGGAGGCAGCAGUGGGGAAUCUUGCACAAUGGAGGAAACUCUGAUGCAGCGAUGCCGCGUGAGUGAAGAAGGCCCUUGGGUUGUAAAGCUCUUUCGUCGGGGAAGAAAAUGACUGUACCCGAAUAAGAAGGUCCGGCUAACUUCGUGCCAGCAGCCGCGGUAAUACGAAGGGACCUAGCGUAGUUCGGAAUUACUGGGCUUAAAGAGUUCGUAGGUGGUUGAAAAAGUUGGUGGUGAAAUCCCAGAGCUUAACUCUGGAACUGCCAUCAAAACUUUUCAGCUAGAGUAUGAUAGAGGAAAGCAGAAUUUCUAGUGUAGAGGUGAAAUUCGUAGAUAUUAGAAAGAAUACCAAUUGCGAAGGCAGCUUUCUGGAUCAUUACUGACACUGAGGAACGAAAGCAUGGGUAGCGAAGAGGAUUAGAUACCCUCGUAGUCCAUGCCGUAAACGAUGUGUGUUAGACGUUGGAAAUUUAUUUUCAGUGUCGCAGCGAAAGCGAUAAACACACCGCCUGGGGAGUACGACCGCAAGGUUAAAACUCAAAUGAAUUGACGGGGACCCGCACAAGUAGUGGAGCAUGUGGUUUAAUUCGAAGAUACGCGCAGAACCUUACCAACACUUGACAUGUUCGUCGCGACUUUAAGAGAUUAAAGUUUUCGGUUCGGCCGGACGAAACACAGGUGCUGCAUGGCUGUCGUCAGCUCGUGUCGUGAGAUGUUGGGUUAAGUCCCGCAACGAGCGCAACCCUCACUUUUAGUUGCCAUCAUUAAGUUGGGCACUCUGAAAGAACUGCCAGUGAUAAGCUGGAGGAAGGUGGGGAUGACGUCAAGUCCUCAUGGCCCUUACGUGUUGGGCUACACACGUGCUACAAUGGUAUCUACAACAGGAAGCAAGACGGCGACGUCAAGCAAAUCCUUAAAAGAUACCUCAGUUCGGAUUGCACUCUGCAACUCGAGUGCAUGAAGCUGGAAUUACUAGUAAUCGUGGAUCAGCGUGCCACGGUGAAUGCGUUCCCGGGUCUUGUACACACCGCCCGUCACACCAUGGGAGUUGGUUCUACCUUAAGGCAAGGUUUAAAACCCUUGACCACGGUAUAGUCAGCGACUGGGGU
Molecule: ribosomal RNA, 1391 nt
Filed under: uncultured bacterium
Lineage: Bacteria
Description: 16S ribosomal RNA
Rfam family: Bacterial small subunit ribosomal RNA
Source: RNAcentral